Molecule: ribosomal RNA, 337 nt
Filed under: uncultured bacterium
Lineage: Bacteria
Description: bacterial SSU rRNA
Rfam family: Bacterial small subunit ribosomal RNA
Source: RNAcentral
AAUCAACGCUGGCGGCGUGCCUCAGACAUGCAAGUCGAACGCGAAAGUCCCCUUCGGGGGAGUGAUUAGAGUGGCGCACGGGUGAGUAACACGUAGGUAAUCUACCUUCGAGUGGGGAAUAACUCAGGGAAACUUGAGCUAAUACCGCAUAAUGCAGCGGCACCACAUGGUGACAGUUGUUAAAGCAUUUAUGCGCUUGAAGAGGAGCCUGCGGCAGAUUAGCUAGUUGGUAAGGUAAUGGCUUACCAAGGCUACGAUCUGUAACCGGCCUGAGAGGGCGGACGGUCACACUGACACUGAAUAACGGGUCAGACUCCUACGGGAGGCAGCAGUCGGG